GGGGAAUAUUGCACAAUGGGGGAAACCCUGAUGCAGCGACGCCGCGUGAGUGAAGAAGUAUUUCGGUAUGUAAAGCUCUAUCAGCAGGGACGAAUAAAUGACGGUACCUGACUAAGAAGCCCCGGCUAACUACGUGCCAGCAGCCGCGGUAAUACGUAGGGGCAAGCGUUAUCCGGAUUUACUGGGUGUAAAGGGAGCGUAGACGGUGACGUAAGUCAGAUGUGAAAGCCCAGGGCUCAACUCUGGGACUGCAUUUGAAACUAUGUUGCUAGAGUGCAGGAGAGGUAAGUGGAAUUCCUAGUGUAGCGGUGAAAUGCGUAGAUAUUAGGAGGAACACCAGUGGCGAAGGCGGCUUACUGGACUGUAACUGACGUUGAGGCUCGAAAGCGUGGGGAGCAAAC
RNAcentral lists this ribosomal RNA (401 nucleotides) under uncultured bacterium. RNAcentral describes it as "bacterial SSU rRNA". It matches the Rfam family "Bacterial small subunit ribosomal RNA", at positions 356 to 773 of the family's 1533-position model. The record is from RNAcentral.